This 205-nucleotide long non-coding RNA is filed under the name Olea europaea (common olive). RNAcentral describes it as "long non-coding RNA (OEUR_LNC001800)". Lineage: Eukaryota; Viridiplantae; Streptophyta; Magnoliopsida; Lamiales; Oleaceae. The record is from RNAcentral.
GAAAGAGCAUGUUGGCAGAGUCUCAUCCUCGAGAUCGACCACUUUGACAGGACCUCGAGCAUGAGGAACGCUCCGGGGUGUACCCUGAGGGGUUGGGCGCUCAACCCUCUCCCGCUCUAUGGCCGAGGAUUUUCCCCUUGGCUGUGACGUUUCGCCUGGGCCACUCCUCUGUCUCUCGAGCCUUGAAUCUCGAGCUCUUUUUUGC